This 330-nucleotide ribosomal RNA is filed under the name uncultured prokaryote. RNAcentral's name for it is "bacterial SSU rRNA". It matches the Rfam family "Bacterial small subunit ribosomal RNA", at positions 26 to 352 of the family's 1533-position model. The record is from RNAcentral.
AGAAUGAACGCUGGCGGCGUGCUUAACACAUGCAAGUCGAACGGAAUCCAAGGAGCUUGCUCCAGAAGAUUUAGUGGCGAACGGGUGAGUAACACGUGAGCAACCUACCCCAGAGACUGGGAUAACACCGGGAAACCGGUGCUAAUACCAGAUGUCUUCCCUUGACCGCAUGAUCGGGGGAAGAAAUGAAUUUCGCUCUGGGAGGGGCUCGCGGUCCAUCAGCUUGUUGGCGGGGUAACGGCCCACCAAGGCAUCGACGGAUAGCUGGUCUGAGAGGACGAUCAGCCACACUGGAACUGAGACACGGUCCAGACUCCUACGGGAGGCAGC